GAGUUUACUCAUUGGUCAGGCUUAGGUGUCCGCGCUGGUGAGAUGGAUCUCUACCUUCUGAGGAACUUUCAUGCCAUUUAUUAGGUGUGAUUGGAAAUCAGGACUGUUACUUUGAAAAAAUUAGAGUGUUUAAAGCAGACUAUCGUCUGAAUACAUUAGCAUGGAAUAAUGAAAUAGGACGGACUGAUUCUAUUUCGUCGGUUUCUAGGAUCACCGUA
Molecule: ribosomal RNA, 218 nt
Filed under: Campeiostachys nutans
Lineage: Eukaryota; Viridiplantae; Streptophyta; Magnoliopsida; Poales; Poaceae
Description: Elymus nutans partial small subunit ribosomal RNA
Rfam family: Eukaryotic small subunit ribosomal RNA (bases 47-218)
Source: RNAcentral